GCCGGCAGCUAGCUCUCUGCAACUCUCACAUGUUCACCCACUGAAGCUAAGCAGGGCAGCGCCUAGUCAGUACCUAGAUGGGAGACCACAUAGGAAAGAUAGGUUGCUGUCGGAA
Molecule: ribosomal RNA, 115 nt
Organism: Danio rerio (zebrafish)
Lineage: Eukaryota; Metazoa; Chordata; Actinopteri; Cypriniformes; Danionidae
Source: Ensembl